Molecule: ribosomal RNA, 253 nt
Filed under: uncultured bacterium
Lineage: Bacteria
Description: partial 16S ribosomal RNA
Rfam family: Bacterial small subunit ribosomal RNA
Source: RNAcentral
UACAGAGGGUGCGAGCGUUGUCCGGAAUCACUGGGCGUAAAGGGCGCGUAGGUGGCCCGACAAGUCACUGGUGAAAGCUCGAUGCUCAACAUCGAGUCGGCCAGUGAUACUGUUGGGCUGGAGCACUGUAGAGGCUAAUGGAAUUCCGGGUGUAGCGGUGGAAUGCGUAGAGAUCCGGAAGAACACCGGAGGCGAAGGCGGCUUGCUGGGCUCGGUCUGACGCUGAGGCGCGAAAGCGUGGGGAGCGAACAGG